GCCCCCAUCGUCUAGUGGCCUAGGACGUCGCCCUUUCAAGGCGGUAGCACGGGUUCGAAUCCCGUUGGGGGCAC
RNAcentral lists this transfer RNA (74 nucleotides) under Embleya hyalina. RNAcentral's name for it is "tRNA-Glu". It matches the Rfam family "tRNA". From Rfam's summary of the family: Transfer RNA (tRNA) molecules are approximately 80 nucleotides in length. Their secondary structure includes four short double-helical elements and three loops (D, anti-codon, and T loops). Further hydrogen bonds mediate the characteristic L-shaped molecular structure. tRNAs have two regions of fundamental functional importance: the anti-codon, which is responsible for specific mRNA codon recognition, and the 3' end, to which the tRNAs corresponding amino acid is attached (by aminoacyl-tRNA synthetases). tRNAs cope with the degeneracy of the genetic code in two manners: having more than one tRNA (with a specific anti-codon) for a particular amino acid; and 'wobble' base-pairing, i.e. permitting non-standard base-pairing at the 3rd anti-codon position. The record is from RNAcentral. Lineage: Bacteria; Bacillati; Actinomycetota; Actinomycetes; Kitasatosporales; Streptomycetaceae.